UACGGGGGAGCAAGCGUUGUUCGGAUUUACUGGCGUGAAAGGGCGCAGGUGGCGGUCGUGACAAGUCACUUGUGAAAUCUCCGGGCUUAACUCGGAACGGUCAAGUGAUACUGUCGGACUAGAGUACAGAAGGGGCAACUGGAAUUCUCGGUGUAGCGGUGAAAUGCGUAGAUAUCGAGAGGAACACCUGCGGCGAAGGCGGGUUGCUGGGCUGAUACUGACGCUGAGGCGCGAAAGCCAGGGGAGGCGAACGGG
RNAcentral lists this ribosomal RNA (255 nucleotides) under uncultured bacterium. RNAcentral describes it as "partial 16S ribosomal RNA". It matches the Rfam family "Bacterial small subunit ribosomal RNA", at positions 524 to 776 of the family's 1533-position model. The record is from RNAcentral.